RNAcentral lists this ribosomal RNA (495 nucleotides) under uncultured bacterium. RNAcentral's name for it is "partial 16S ribosomal RNA". It matches the Rfam family "Bacterial small subunit ribosomal RNA", at positions 28 to 507 of the family's 1533-position model. The record is from RNAcentral.
GACGAACGCUGGCGGCGUGCCUAAUACAUGCAAGUAGAACGCUGAAGGAGGAGCUUGCUUCUCUGGAUGAGUUGCGAACGGGUGAGUAACGCGUAGGUAACCUGCCUGGUAGCGGGGGAUAACUAUUGGAAACGAUAGCUAAUACCGCAUAAGAGUAGAUGUUGCAUGACAUUUGCUUAAAAGGUGCAAUUGCAUCACUACCAGAUGGACCUGCGUUGUAUUAGCUAGUUGGUGGGGUAACGGCUCACCAAGGCGACGAUACAUAGCCGACCUGAGAGGGUGAUCGGCCACACUGGGACUGAGACACGGCCCAGACUUCUACGGGAGGCAGCAGUAGGGAAUCUUCGGCAAUGGACGGAAGUCUGACCGAGCAACGCCGCGUGAGUGAAGAAGGUUGUCGGAUCGUAAAGCUCUGUUGUAAGAGAAGAACGAGUGUGAGAGUGGAAAGUUCACACUGUGACGGUAUCUGACCAGAAAGGGACGGCUAACUACGUG